UAGUCAUAUGCUUGUUUCAAAGAAUAAACCAUCCAUGUUUAAGUAUAAGCACCCUUAUACUGCGAAACUGCGUACAGCUCAUUAUAUCAGCUAUUAUUUAUUUGAAGGUCACCUUUUACAUGGAUAACCGUGGUAAUUCUAGAGCUAAUACAUGCGAAAAGAAGGCCUUUAUUGGCUUUUGUAUUUAUUAGAUAAAGAAUCAAUACCAGUUUUGCUGGUUUUAUUGAUGAAUCAUAAUAAUUGUUUGAAUCGCACGGCUUUGCUGGCGAUAGUUCGUUCAAAUUUUUGCCCUAUCAGCUUGUCGGUAGUGUAGUGGACUACCGAGGCAUUAACAGGUAACGGAGAAUUAGGGUUUGAUUCCGGAGAGGGAGCCUGAGAAACGGCUACCACAUCCAAGGAAGGCAGCCGGCGCGCAAAUUACCCAAUCCCCAUACGGGGAGGUAGUGACAAUAAAUAACAAAGAUGACGGUUCAUCCGUGGUUUAUUGGAAAGAGAACAAUUUAAACCCCUUAUUGACGAUCCACU
Molecule: ribosomal RNA, 525 nt
Filed under: uncultured eukaryote
Lineage: Eukaryota
Description: bacterial SSU rRNA
Rfam family: Eukaryotic small subunit ribosomal RNA
Source: RNAcentral